Molecule: non-coding RNA, 302 nt
Filed under: Otolemur garnettii (small-eared galago)
Lineage: Eukaryota; Metazoa; Chordata; Mammalia; Primates; Galagidae
Description: Eukaryotic large subunit ribosomal RNA
Rfam family: Eukaryotic large subunit ribosomal RNA
Source: Rfam by way of RNAcentral
CUAACACAUAUGGGAGUCAGGGCAUGGCCUGAAAUCUGCUGUGGUGCAAUGAGGGUGGUGAAGGCUGGUGGCCGGCCAAGGUGGGAUCCUACAGCCUCUACUGUCAGCCAAGGAUACACCACCGGCCCGUCUUGCCUGCUAUUGGUGAAGUGGAGCAGGAGCGCACAUGUAAAUACCCAAAAGAUGGUGAAAUAUGGGCAGGAUGAAGCCAGAGGAAACUCUGCUUGAGGUCAUAGCCCUUCUGACGUCAAGUUGGUCGUCUGACUUAGGUAUUAGGGGUGAGAGGCUAACCUAGUAGCUGG